RNAcentral lists this transfer RNA (87 nucleotides) under Pseudomonadota bacterium. RNAcentral's name for it is "Proteobacteria bacterium (groundwater metagenome) tRNA-Ser". It matches the Rfam family "tRNA". Rfam says of the family: Transfer RNA (tRNA) molecules are approximately 80 nucleotides in length. Their secondary structure includes four short double-helical elements and three loops (D, anti-codon, and T loops). The record is from RNAcentral. Lineage: Bacteria; Pseudomonadati; Pseudomonadota.
GGAGAGAUGCCGGAGCGGCUGAACGGGGCGGUCUCGAAAACCGUUGUAUCUUUCAGGGUACCCAGGGUUCGAAUCCCUGUCUCUCCG